This 253-nucleotide ribosomal RNA is filed under the name uncultured bacterium. RNAcentral's name for it is "partial 16S ribosomal RNA". It matches the Rfam family "Bacterial small subunit ribosomal RNA", at positions 524 to 776 of the family's 1533-position model. The record is from RNAcentral.
UACGAAGGGUGCAAACGUUGCUCGGAAUUAUUGGGCGUAAAGGGCUCGUAGGUUGCCAACUAAGUCAGACGUGAAAUCCCUCGGCUUAACCGGGGAACUGCGUCUGAUACUGGAUGGCUUGAGUUCGGGAGAGGGAUGCGGAAUUCCAGGUGUAGCGGUGAAAUGCGCAGAUAUCUGGAGGAACACCGGUGGCGAAGGCGGCAUCCUGGACCGACACUGACACUGAGGAGCGAAAGCCAGGGGAGCAAACGGG